Molecule: ribosomal RNA, 402 nt
Filed under: bacterium
Lineage: Bacteria
Description: partial 16S ribosomal RNA
Rfam family: Bacterial small subunit ribosomal RNA
Source: RNAcentral
UGGGGAAUUUUGCACAAUGGGGGAAACCCUGAUGCAGCGACGCCGCGUGAUUUAGAAGGCCUUCGGGUUGUAAAAAUCUUUUCUAUGGGAAGAAAAUGACAGUACCAUAGGAAUAAGGACCGGCUAAUUACGUGCAAGCAGCCGCGGUAAUACGUAAGGUCCGAGCGUUGUACGGAAUCAUUGGGCGUAAAGGGUACGUAGGCGGGUAAGCAAGUUAGAAGUGAAAUCCUAUAGCUCAACUAUAGUAAGCUUUUAAAACUGCUCAUCUUGAGGUAUGGAAGGGAAAGUGGAAUUCCUAGUGUAGCGGUGAAAUGCGCAGAUAUUAGGAGGAAUACCGGUGGCGAAGGCGACUUUCUGGCCAUAACCUGACGCUGAGGUACGAAAGCGUGGGUAGCAAACAGG